AUUGAACGCUGGCGGUAUGCUUAACACAUGCAAGUCGAACGGCAGCACGGUCUGUAGUAAUACAGAGGGGUGGCGAGUUGCUGACGGGUUAGUAAUACGCAGGAAUCUGCCCUAUAGAGGGGGAUAACUCGAGGAAACUCGAGCUAAUACCGCGUAGUCUCUACGGAGUAAAGCUGGGGCAACCUGGCGCUAUAGGAGGAGCCUGCGUCUGAGUAGCUAGUUGGUGGGGUAAUGGACUACCAAGGCGACGAUCAGUAGGUGGUCUGAGGGGAUGAUCACCCACACUGGGACUGAGACACGGCCCAGACUCCUACGGGAGGCAGCAGUGGGGAAUAUUGGACAAUGGGGGCAACCCUGAUCCAGCAAUACCGCGUGUGUGAAGAAGGCCUUAGGGUUGUAAAGCACUUUAGGCGGGGAAGAAGGUAUGUAUUUUAAGAGAUAACAUAUUUGACGGUACCCGCAGAGUAAGCACCGGCUAACUCUGUGCCAGCAGCCGCCGCGG
This 502-nucleotide ribosomal RNA is filed under the name uncultured bacterium. RNAcentral's name for it is "partial 16S ribosomal RNA". It matches the Rfam family "Bacterial small subunit ribosomal RNA", at positions 30 to 523 of the family's 1533-position model. The record is from RNAcentral.